GUAGAUAUAGUUUACUAAAACACUAGACUGUGGCUCUAGAGAUAGAAGCUAUUAACUUCUUAUUUACC
RNAcentral lists this transfer RNA (68 nucleotides) under Algyroides moreoticus. RNAcentral's name for it is "tRNA-His". It matches the Rfam family "tRNA". Rfam says of the family: Transfer RNA (tRNA) molecules are approximately 80 nucleotides in length. Their secondary structure includes four short double-helical elements and three loops (D, anti-codon, and T loops). Further hydrogen bonds mediate the characteristic L-shaped molecular structure. tRNAs have two regions of fundamental functional importance: the anti-codon, which is responsible for specific mRNA codon recognition, and the 3' end, to which the tRNAs corresponding amino acid is attached (by aminoacyl-tRNA synthetases). tRNAs cope with the degeneracy of the genetic code in two manners: having more than one tRNA (with a specific anti-codon) for a particular amino acid; and 'wobble' base-pairing, i.e. permitting non-standard base-pairing at the 3rd anti-codon position. The record is from RNAcentral. Lineage: Eukaryota; Metazoa; Chordata; Lepidosauria; Squamata; Lacertidae.